This 435-nucleotide ribosomal RNA is filed under the name uncultured bacterium. Its description in RNAcentral is "bacterial SSU rRNA". It matches the Rfam family "Bacterial small subunit ribosomal RNA", at positions 29 to 507 of the family's 1533-position model. The record is from RNAcentral.
AACGAACGCUGGCGGCAGGCUUAACACAUGCAAGUCGAACGGUUGUAGCAAUACAGCAGUGGCAGACGGGUGAGUAACACGUGGGAACCUUCCUAGGGGUACGGAACAACUCAGGGAAACUUGAGCUAAUACCGUAUACGUCCAUGAGGAGAAAGAUUUAUCGCCCUUAGACGGGCCCGCGUCGGAUUAGCUAGUUGGUGGGGUAACGGCCUACCAAGGCGACGAUCCGUAGCUGAUCUUAGAGGAUGAUCAGCCACACUGGGACUGAGACACGGCCCAGACUCCUACGGGAGGCAGCAGUGGGGAAUCUUGGACAAUGGGCGCAAGCCUGAUCCAGCCAUGCCGCGUGAGUGAAGAAGGUCUUCGGAUUGUAAAGCUCUUUUACCAGGGACGAUAAUGACGGUACCUGGAGAAUAAGCCCCGGCAAACUUCGUG